Molecule: ribosomal RNA, 410 nt
Filed under: uncultured bacterium
Lineage: Bacteria
Description: bacterial SSU rRNA
Rfam family: Bacterial small subunit ribosomal RNA
Source: RNAcentral
UCGAGGAUCUUCGGCAAUGGGCGCAAGCCUGACCGAGCGACGCCGCGUGUGCGAUGAAGGCCUUCGGGUUGUAAAGCACUGUCGAGGGGGAGAAAGCCGCAAGGUUGAUCGACCCCUGGAGGAAGCACGGGCUAAGUUCGUGCCAGCAGCCGCGGUAAGACGAACCGUGCGAACGUUGUUCGGAUUCACUGGGCUUAAAGGGCGCGUAGGCGGGCCGCCAAGUCAGGGGUGAAAUCCCGCAGCUCAACUGCGGAAGUGCCUUUGAUACUGGCGGCCUCGAGGGAGGUAGGGGCAUGCGGAACUUCCGGUGGAGCGGUGAAAUGCGUAGAUAUCGGAAGGAACGCCGGUGGCGAAAGCGGCGUGCUGGACCUCUUCUGACGCUGAGGCGCGAAAGCCAGGGGAGCAAACGG